Long non-coding RNA from Helianthus annuus (common sunflower), 2617 nucleotides. RefSeq lists it as uncharacterized. Lineage: Eukaryota; Viridiplantae; Streptophyta; Magnoliopsida; Asterales; Asteraceae. The record is from RefSeq and is a predicted model, not a curated record. The transcript has 7 exons.
CCACACCACGUAUUAGAUACUCACUUCCCUGAAAUCCUAAAUCCCAAAAUAUCGAUUCUCCUUCAAUUGUUCUUCGCCGAUUCAUCAUUCUCAAUGACCAGGGUUACGCCGUGAACCCUUGAUGACGACAGAAUUGCAUGCUACAGAACAGACAAUCAAAGGAUUGUGCUCUGAUGAAGUAACUGGCAUACAGCUGACAACAAGGUUCGUUUGAUUUGCUGAGUUUCAAGUCCCGUUCGUUCUCUUCUUCGUCAUCGUGAUCAUUAUCAUCAAAGAUUUGGUUGAAGGUGGGUGUUCCACCAGACUCUCAUUUUGUAGCGGACAUGUUUGGCAACCAACGCGGUAAUCGAGGAAGCAAUGAUCUUUAUUUGUGGAAUGAACAUCAUUGAGCCUGGUAGCUACACCAUCUAAUUAUAUUGUUUGAGUUAGUAUUCUGAUGGGUGUUUGCUUAAAUCACUUUGUGAAAGUAAAUAAGAAAGUUACGUGAGUAACAUUGUUUUCAUUGUGUUGGGAAUGCAAAUAGCUUCUUUAGUGAUGUGUAGUUUUCAUUGGAAAUUGUCCAGGGGAAAAGUAUGCCUUACUACUAGGUAGCAAGAUGGAUGGUACGUGCUGGUAACGGUCUAGGGACAUAAAAAAUAUAUUUUGUCUAUCUGUUAUAAUUUUGAUAGGAAUAAAGAGGGAAAGUCUCUGGUGCUGCUAUAAGAGAUUAUUUGCUAGAGAUAUCACGCGUCUGUCAAGUUUCUGACCCUGAGAGAAGUUAUCAUUGUUUUACAUGUUAUGUGUUGCACCACUUGAUGAGUGAAAAGUACAAAGUUUGAAGUUCAAGAAAGUUUCAUUACCUUAAUCAAUCAAACUUUUAUGAACUGAACAGAGUGGACGAGUCUAAAAAGUAUCUUGCUACAAAGAAAGCUAUGGAUGUUGUUGGAAUCAGCUCUGAUGAACAGGUGCUCAUAAAAUGGUCACAAACAGGUACUUCUGAGUUGGUGGAUCCUUUUAUUGUUUAAUUUAUAAAGAAAGUAUAUCUUUUAAAACACUCUGGUUGAAUUUGAAAGUUGAAUAAAACCUUACACAACCAUUAUAUUGUUACAGUUAAGAAAUAAUAGCUUAUGAUUAUGAACUUUUGGAUACCUGAUUUACUAUUACUUUUUAUCCAGAAUAUCUAUAGAUAUAUAAGAGUAUCCUUAAGUCAAAGUUUCAAAAUGUUAAUUUUUUUGUCUUCUUUUUCAAGAAUAUCGUAACUUUUUUAAUCCAUGCUUUCAAAACUGACAUUACUUGGUUGAAUUAUAACCUUUGGCUCCACAUGGUGUCCAUGUCACCUCCAAGUAGGAUUGCCAAAUGGCAUCUCGACACUAACUCUCAAACAAAAAUGUGAUGAUCCAAUCUAAACCUGUUUCACUGUUAUAACAUGAUGAUACUAACCCAUACAUUUGAUCACUUCUUCCUUCAUCUCCAUUUUACAUCACAAUCACCCUGUUUGUCUCCGUCUUCAAAUCUUCGAUCUCCAUCUCAAUGGUAUGUUUUACACCACCACGUCUCCAUCUUCUAAGGUCUGUUUUUUGGUUCAAACACUCAACCCACAAGAUUUGAAUUUGUUUGUUCUACGCCACCACAUUUGUGUUCGCUGAAAUGCUUUAAUGUGUCAACGAUGAUUUCUACUCAGGUUAUAUCUCGAUGUUUGGUAUAUGAAUAUCUACGAAAGCUGUGAUGAAUGAGUACAUUAAAUUUGCAUGAUAAGCUCAGAUGAUAAGCUCGCUCAGAGAUUAAGGAGUACGUGUGAGCCUAAAGUUGAUGCCGACUCAUUUCAUUGCAUAUUCAUGACAUCUCAGGUUGUAUCUUGAUGUUUGGUAUACGAAUAUCUAUGAAGGCUGUGAUGAAUGAGUACAUUAAAUUCGCAUGAUAAGCUCACCCAGAGAUUAAGGAAUAUGUGUGAGCCUAAACUUGAUGCAAGGUGGGUUGAAAUGUGAGCCUAAACUUGCAUAUUCAUGACAUCUCAGGUCAUGUUGUAUGUUGACAUGGAAGUACAUGGUGUUCCUUUGAAGGUAUGAUCAUAAAUACGAAGUGACACAUUCAUGCUUUAUUUUUGUUCAUGGGUAUUUUUUUGUAAUUCAACUUCUGUGUUCAACAUUUUUAUGCGCAUUUUUGAAAUUCGGACGUUUGUUGAUAGUGGAGCCUAGUCAACUAUAAUAUUAAAAUGUUGUGCUGGGCAUCUAGGGUAUGUGCCUUUUUUUCAUUUUUGAAGAGGCUACUCAUUCUGUGCACCAACAAGCACAUGUAGUUUCUAAUUUCGGCUGUCAAUCGUGUCAGGUUGGUGUGUGGGAAUAGGUGAAUCCGAACACGGCUCAAAGGCAUCAACCCUAACACAAACAUAUUUAAAAUUGUGUCGUGCGAGUGUUAUAUUUUAGGUUAACCCAUUUAAUGCUUAUAUGGCGGAGAAGCAAUCAAGUGAUAACUUUUUCCAUGUGGUGUCUAAUUCUCAUCAAUUUUUUGUUGUGGAAAGCUCAAAAUUGCAAGCACUACAACACACAUGGAAUGUUCUUUUAGUUAUGAUGUAAAAAAUUUUUAACGUUGUUAACAUUGAUUAAUCUACCUUAUUCUUCAUGCAUUUUUCAUUCAUUAA